This 171-nucleotide non-coding RNA is filed under the name Fusobacterium ulcerans. Its description in RNAcentral is "Lysine riboswitch". It matches the Rfam family "Lysine riboswitch aptamer". Rfam says of the family: Riboswitches are metabolite binding domains within certain messenger RNAs that serve as precision sensors for their corresponding targets. Allosteric rearrangement of mRNA structure is mediated by ligand binding, and this results in modulation of gene expression. Lineage: Bacteria; Fusobacteriati; Fusobacteriota; Fusobacteriia; Fusobacteriales; Fusobacteriaceae. The record is from RNAcentral.
CAGAUUGAGGAGCAAUCAACAAGAGUAACUAUGUGGAGCCAGCCAGCUAUGAAACACAGUGAAAGGGGAGAUUGCCGAAAUUUCAGUUUUGUGAGGCAGACAAAUUGAUUUUGGGAAUGCAGAUAACAUCUGUAUAACUGUCAUUGGGGAACCAAUGUUGUGCUUUCUGUU